This 24136-nucleotide long non-coding RNA is filed under the name Cicer arietinum (chickpea). RNAcentral's name for it is "long non-coding RNA (CARI_LNC003030)". The record is from RNAcentral. Lineage: Eukaryota; Viridiplantae; Streptophyta; Magnoliopsida; Fabales; Fabaceae.
AUAUAGAGAAAACUACUUUAUUAUUUAGCAACAUUGCAUUGUAAUCCUCCAAGAAGUGACAUGGCUUACUCAAAUUCAUAUAUGUUUCUUGGUUUGGGACUUUUUAUUAUUCUCUCUUCUCAAGUUCUAGCUCAAGUUCCUCUUCUUCUUCCGCCACCUCCACCUCCUCCUCCUACAAUUAUUUGUAAGUCAUGCUAGACUAUAAUGUAUUUUUCUACGUCAAAUGCACAUGUUUAAAAAAAUAUGAUUCAAUACAUGUAUAAAUAUAACACACAUUCUAAUGAACAUAUUAAAAUGAAAUUAAUAUAGUACUUAAGUUCUAGUUCAAUGGGUAAAUGGAAAUAAUGUUAGGUUAAACAUUUUAUCUCAGAUUUUAACCUAAGACUUCAGAGUUGCGUGUGUUAAUUAUGAUGGAAUUUACCAUUUCUUCUAAAAUAAAAUAAAAAUGAUAUUAUUAUAAAACUAGGACCCUCAAAUUAAACUUAUUAAAAUAAUAUUAAUAUUAAACUUAUAACUUUAUAAUUAUUUGGUUUCAAUAUGAUUUUAGUUCCUGAAAUUGUAUUGCUUUUUAUUUUAACUCUUAUAAGUUUUUUUUUAUUUGAAUUAAGUCCUUGCAGAUAUAAAAAAUGUCGUUUUAAAUUCUUAAGUUAGUUUAUGGGAUCACAUGGUACGACACUAUAGGAUCACAUUUGAGCUCAAGGACUAAAUAUAACUUUUUUCAAAUUUGCUGAGAUUAAAAUCAAACAAAAACACUUAGAAGGACUAAAACCAAAAAAUAAUAUAAUUGCAUGAACUAAAAUCAUAUUCAAACCUCAAACUUUUAUUAAGGUAUACGAUUUUUUAAGAAGUCAGAAAAUCAUACUUAUAAGGUUUAUAUAUAAAUUUUUAUUUCACUUUUACAUUUCUUGAUAUAAUGCAUUCUCCAAUAGAUAUUAUAAACACAAUGGAAACCCCAAUGACAACUGUGGAUAGUUAUGCUGGCCUGAUGCAUGAAGUGACACUUCUAGAAGCUGAAGCUGAUCGGAUGACUUUCCGUGCAAAUUUGAUAAAGAAGAAUGUUGCUAAAUCUAUUCAUCAAAGCCGUAAAUUUCUAAAUCAUUUAUUUGAUGAAGAAGAUAAAGUUUCCAAAAGUAAUGAGGAAGAUAAAGUUUCCAUAACUAGUAAGGAAGAUAAAGUUUUCAGAUAUGACGAGGAAGACAAAAUUUCAAAUAAUGAAGAGAAAAAAAAAGUUUUAAAAAAUGAGGAGAAAGAGAAGGUUUUUAAAAGUGACAAGGAAGAUAAAGUUUUCAAAAAUGAUAAUAAAAAUACAAUUACAAAUUAAAAAUAAUGAAAAAAAAUGAAGUUUACCAAUGUGACGAAGAAGAUAAACUUUCUUUAAUAUUUCCCCUGUAUUAAUAGCAUGGAAAAAUUUAUAUCUUAAUUGUAUAAAUAAAAGGGUGAAAGUAGACAUUAUACUUAUAACUUGCCAUAUAUAUACAUCAAAAAUUGAGUUAUAUAUAGUUCAUAUCAAUAUUUGGGUAAUGAUACAUUGCUAUCAGAUGUCAAACAUUACAAACUUACACCUUCAAUACUUCUUUGAAGAAGACAAAUUAAAUUAAAUCAAUCCAAUUGUCGAAUAAUCUUGAAUUAUGUUGAUGAUCUUAUAUACAAAACUUCAAACAAUUUAGAAACUCGUUGGUAAAAGUUUUAGUAAUAGAUAUUGUAACAUUCUGAUUUAAUUCAAACUAUUAUUAACGAAAUUACAAACAUGAAAAAUGUGGAUUAUUAUUAUUAUUUAAAACAAGGCUAAAAUAAAAUAAUUAUUUGAUCUAAACCAAAUAAUAAAUUUUCUUUUAUUGACUUCCACAAUAAAAACAUAGUUAUUACGAUUACAAACAAACAAGUAGUUGUGUAAAUAAAAGAACGAAAUCCUAAAGUCAAGACUCUUGGGUUUUUUCUACCCAAGAGAAAACCUAGUUGGUCACAAUUUUGAAUGUUUGUGAAGAAUUCUCAAGGCUAACACCAGUGUUAAAAAGAAAAAUCAGAGCCUCCAUUUACACUAUUGUUUUACAAUUUUAAUAAUUUCCACAUAAUUUAUAUCUUUUUUUUUUUAUUCAGAUAACUUAUAUACUUUCAUAAAAAUAGACUUUGUGAUUAUCAAAUAUAUAAAUUUUCACUUAAAUCAAAGUUAAUAUUAUAGACCCGGAACAGUUGUAAAAUGGUGAUUAGUUCUACUUUGAUUAGUAAUAAUUUUUUCAUCUCUAAAAAAAUUGUUAAGUUUUUAUGAUUUAAUUUUGGCAAAACAUUGUUUUUAUCAUAUUAUUUCAAGAGUAAAAAUUCUUAUUUAAUUAAAAACUCUAUAAUUUUUUUCAAUAUGAUGUAUUCUUCUUAUAACCUUACCUAUUUACAAAAUUAAUACAUUAAUAAAUUAUUUAUAUCGUAUUCAAAAAAAUUUAAACCCCAUGCAAAACAUGGGUAAUAGUCUAAUAAUAUAUUAAAAUAGACUCCUAAAUACUAUUGUAACACAUCAUCUAAUAUUGUGUCAUUUCAUUCAAUUAUUGUCACCACAACAAAAAUCUGAUGUGCCAUAUGUAAUAUUAUAUAUAACUAAUCAUGUGCCAUGAGUUAUAAAUUUAGGAACAAUCAAUAUUAGUUAAUUGACACUCAUUGCUGCUCCAUCAUUAUUGGUAAUAAUUUUUCUAUGGUUUUAACUCCAAUUAAUAUAUUGGUCCUAUAAAUGCUUAAAUAUAUAAAUGACAACAAUUUGUGGAAGUUAUUUUGUAUCAUAUAUUGCAUAUGUUUAUUUGGAAAUUGGAAGACAAUGACACAUAAACUUUGGUCUCUAUGCAACUUUUCUAUUUAUAAGUUGUUUAGAUUGAUUGAGGACAAUUUUGUAAUUUCUUUCAUCUAAUUUGUUAUUCUUUUUAUAUUUAUUUUACGUGCUUUUUAUAAUUUAUGUUUAUAUAUUUGAGUUUUAAUUCUGACUAUAAUAUGUUACGAUAUCUUUAUGAUCAAUUAUUGUGUAUACAUUUGGUGCAAAUAUUUUUGAACAAAUUGUGCUUGUAUUUUAUUAUGAAUUAUGUUAAGUGUUGUAACACCCCAAAUUUUAUAAUAAAUAUUUUCAUAAUGAAAUAGAACUUUGGAUAAUUAAUUUGGUGUUAAAACUAUUUUAGAAUAUAUGUGUAUAAAUCUUGUGACUAACUUUCAUUAUAUGGGAGCUUUCUAUGAUACACUAAUUUUGUAUAUAUUUGAAUAAAUAAGUGAUAUAAAUAACAAAUAUAAUAUUUUAUAAUUUUAUAUAUUUUUUCUAUAAAUAAUAGUAUUUUAGUGUAAAUAUUUUAAAGAAUAAGAUUUUAGGCGACUCUACAUGUAUAUGUGUGUUCGCAGUUAAUGUGAUAUUUUCUUGUGUGUUUGACUGAUGUUAAGUGUGCACAUAUUUAAUUAUUUAAAAACAUAUGUUAUUUUAAUUAUUUAUUUUACAAAUAAUUAUCUUGAUAUAUUAGUAAUUUUAAUAUUUAUUUUAUUUAUUUUUAUAUAGUUGCACAUAUUUAUUUUUAUUUAUUUUAUCAUUUUGACUAUUCUAUAAAGAUGAUGUUUUUUUAUGUGAUUAUUUUGAAAGAUGUUAUAGUAGUAAUUAUAGUUAUUAUUUUGAAUAUGAGAAUUUUGGUUAAAAUUCGAUUUAUUAUUUUAAGGAUAGAUAAUAUUAUGUUAAAAUGAGUAUUUUGGAGAAACAUUUCUAGAAAAGUAAAAUAAACUAUUUAUUUAUUGUGUGCUUUUAGAAAUACUAGAAAAAUGAAUUUUGGAUAAAACGACUGUUUACACCCCUAUUUUCUACUUAUGCAUAUUAAUUUAGGCUAUUACUUGUUGGACUUUUUCUUUCCUACACCUGCGAAAUUGCUCAUUACACCUCUAUUCCUGCAAAAGACACAUACUAGACUCUCCUGCGUUGGGUCUUACAACUUGUUUUACUCAUGUAAAAUUUAUCAUGUACCCCCAAAAAAAAAUUUAAAAUGUCAAAAAUACCCUCAAUUAUUUUUUUACGAUUUCACACAAUCUAAGGUAAAUUUUUUUCACCCUUUUUUUAUUUCCGGAGUCGUAAAAAAGUUUUCAGGUAGGUUCCAUUUUUCUGGUAACUAUCGGAAUACUUGUAAUAAGAUUUCCGGUACAUAAGGUAUAUUCCGCAAAACAUAAAACGAAGUUUUCCGGUAUAAAAGGAAAAAGUUGUGUACCGGAAAACUUAAUUGACAAGUUAUCCGGUACAGAAUUGGCUUCCGGAAAACUUCAUAUACAAGUUUUUCGGUACAUAACAAUUUUUUAAAAUUUAUUUUUAAGUUUUUUGAAUUACAUUAAUUUAUUUUAAAUGUUAAUGGAUAUGGAUAAACUAUUACUAUUAAUGGAUAAAACAUGCGUCGAUACUACAAAUAUUUUUGACACAUAUCAGGUAUGAAUAAAAAUAAUUAAUAAUGUAAAAAUAUAUUAUUGUUAUUAAUUAUAAUUUAUUUUAUUUCAGAUAUUUGAUACAAGGGAUGCUGAUGUGAAUUGGGCAAAAGAAAUCGGUAUAAAAAAUAAUGUUAUUGUUAUUAUCAGAAGAUCAGAUAUAGAGACGGGAGAGAGAGGAAGGAAAAAUAAAUUACUAUUAAUUUGUGACAAAGGGAGAAAAUACAAGUGUGCUGCUAGUUCAACUCGAAGUUCAACAAAAAAGUGUGAUUGUCCUUUCAAGCUUAGAUCAAAACCGUUAAAAGAUGGUUCAGGAUGGAUAGUUAAAGUAAUUUGUGGAAUUCACAGCCAUGAAUUACUUGAUACUUUGGAGGGGAAUGCAUAUGUUGGACGCUUAAAUGAAGAAGAAAGAAAGCAUGUUCAUGACUUAACAAAAUAUAAUGGAGCAUCGAGACACAUAUUACUCUCAUUGAAAGACCGAGAUAAGAGUAAUGUUACUAAAAUAUCACAAAUAUAUAAAUAGAGGAGUAUGAUUCGAUUGAACGUGAGAGGUAAUAGAACAAAGAUGCAACAUUUAUUCACGUUAAUUGAAGAUGAAAACUAUAUGUGUCGGAAUAGAAAGUGUGAAGACACUAAUGUUAUAAAAGAUAUUUUUUUGGGUGCAUCCUGAUUCAGUGAAGACUUUGAUGUUAUGAGAGAUAUUCUUUACUCUUACACGGUAAAGUUCUAAAUCAAGAGACCGAGCUCUGAUACCAAUUGAAGUAGUUGGAAAAUACAAGACACAUGAGUUUGAAUUGUGUUUGCCAUUUUUGAAGGCUAUUUAGACUUCCUUACACAAAUUGUUCUUUAUCAAAACAUGCAACUUACUUUUAUAAAAAAAAGGUUUAGAAAGAGUAAGGUUGAAUAAUAAAUAAAUAAAUAAGAUGCGAAAAAUAGAAGAAGAUAAAAGAGACAUAUUUUUAUAAUAGUUCACAACAAAUUGUUCCUAUAUCUAGCACUCCCUAUACAAAGAGAUUUUACUUUAGCACAGUCGAUGACUUAAUCCAAUAUUUCCAUAAAUAGCAAAAAAGUAUUCUUUACUCUGCCUUUUUAGGCUUUUAGUAUUUUUCUCUAGCCUCUCCAGGUUGUCUUCAUCAAAACCUUCUUCAACUUUCUGGCAUCUUGCCAUUAAGAUUCAUGAGAGUCGUGGUACCUUUUCACGUACCUCUUAGGGGUGAGAAGGUUGUUGUCUGAUUUGACACAAAGUUUGUUUUUCGAAUUCUAACUCUCAUUGAGAGGGUGUUAUAGAUCAACUCCUCUAUCAAUAGAAGUGUGAGAGAACAAGAUAUAUGAACAAGUAGUAGAUUCUAGAUGUUGAUCAGAUGAUGCACAAUUGCUUCGUCUUCUUUAGAAAGUUGAAUUUCAUCAUAGCGUUUACAUCUUUUAUAUCAUUGAUUUCCUUCAGUGCAUACGACAUAAGUUAGAGUUAUAUGAUCAGAUACUUGAAAUGAUUAUCAGUGGCAGAGAAUCACUCGCUUGUCAAGCUUAUUAGAGGCAAUUGAUUACUUGCUUUAUCAAUCGUAUCAGAGGUAGACGAGCUGAGAAUAGCUGAAACAUAAUGUAUCACGUAUUUAUAGAGUCAGUAGAACUAAAACAUUUCUUGCGUUAUAAGAGUAAGUCAAAACACAACAAUGCUUUGCAUUGUUGGAAGCGUGUGUUACAACACUUGCGUCAAAAUCAAACAAAUGGAAUGAAGUAGAGUCUUGUUGUUCCUCUGUCUUCGUACAAUCACCAGAGGAUAUAACUUAAAUCAAGGUAACAUUUGACUUUGAACUAAUACUUGCAAUAUUAUGUCUUCCUCCAAUAGUAGACAUAGUUACUUGUAUAUUAGGAUAUAAUAUAUUCCUUAGAACUUAUGCUACUCUAAUAUGAAUAGUCAUUAAUAUAACUCUUUGUGUUUUAACUUAAUAUUCACACUUUGCAAAUACAGAUACGAGAUGAUUAUUCUUUAUUUGUUUGUUUUUGUUAUCUUAAAACAUCUACCAGAGGAUUGUAGCGAAAUCCCAUUUUGCACUAACACACCCUAUUAAAGUUUCUAACUCAUAGUUUAAGCUCACCAAAUUUUAAGUGUUCUCGUUAGUCAAUUAUUAUACAAAGGGCUUCACUCACAUCUAACAAGUCUUAAGAUGAUUUGUGGGAAAUACGAUUUUUACGUUUGAUUGACAUUAUUUUACACUCAUGAAAUCAAGCGGAGCAUAAAAUUAAAGUUACAUAAUUAACUAAAAAUUUAGGAAUAAAAACGAAGAUAAAAACGACACCAAAUUGAUAGUUAGAUAAAGUAUCACCGAUGCGUCGAAGCACAGACAAGAUCCGACGUCAACUUUAUCGAAAUAUGUGAAUCAGUAGAGCUUCUUGAAAGUUUCGACGAGAGGAAUCCAAAAACGAUAUCAUUUUUUUCCAAUGAUGAAUACGGAGGUCGAAAAAGGAAAAUAUAGUUCGUCCAAAUAAGAAAAUGUGAUUGUUUCUUAAAAGAGAAUAUGAGUAGAGUUUCUUCAAAGUUUCAACGAGAAGAAUUAAAAAACGAUGUCCAUUUUUUUCAAUGAUCAACACAGAGGCCGAAAAAGCAAAAUACAGUCCGUCCAUUUUUACAAAGAUUAUUUUUAAGACAAUAAAAGAGAAUAUGCAUACUGAUACUAUAUUAUAUUAUUAUUACCCAAGGACAAGAAAACUUGCUUGAUUGGAGAAAUUUUUUUUGGUUCUUUUUUAUUCCUAAAUGAAAUUCAAGUCCCCAUCUUUUUGUUUCUUUAACAAAAAAUUAAACUUAAUUGAAAAAAAAAUCAUAGCUGAAUUAAAAAAUUUAAUUUGAACGGACACUAUCUAAAUAAGUGUUACGUUUUAAAUCGUAAUUUCUAUAUCAAUAUUUACAUGUCCUUUCGAAGUUGCUUUUGCCAAAAGGUUUGCCUGAAUUUAAUUUGAAAUUUGACUCUUGGCCCAAAAAAAGGACAUCUUCUUUCCAUAUAUAUAUAGAGAAUACUACUUUAUUAUUUAGCAAUAUUGCGUUGUUGUAAUACUCCAAGAAGUGACAUGGGUUACUCAAAACAUGCAACUUACUUUUAUAAAAACCGAUUAGGCAGAGGAAGGUUGAAUAAUAAAAAAAUAAAUCAAUAAGAUGCGAAAAAUAGAAGAAGAUAAAGGAGACGUAUAUUUUUAUAAUAGUUCACAAAAAAUUGAUCCUAUUUCUAUUUCUCCCUUACAAAAAGAAUUUACCUCAGUAAAGUCGAGGACUUAAUCCACUAUUUCCAUAUAUAGCAUAAAGGUAUUCUUCACUCUGCCUUUUUAGGCGUUUAGUAUUUUUCUCUAGCCUCUCCAAAUUGUCUUCAUCAAAACCUUCUUCAACUUAUGGCAUCUUGCCAUUGAGGUUCACGAGAGUCGUGGUACCUUUUCACGUACCUCUUAGGGGUGAGAAGGUUGUUGCCACUAUCGGGCUAAUUUACAUCAGUUUUAGUUUGUGUCUGAUUUGACACAUAGUUUGUUUUUCGGAUUCUUACUCUCAUUGAGAGUAUGUUAUAGAUCAAGUCUUAUAUCAGUACAAGUGUGAGAGAACUAGAUAUAUGAACAAGUAGUAGAUUUAAGAUGUUGAUCAAAGGAAACACAAUUGCUUCGUCUUCUUUGGAAUGUUGAAUUUCAUCAUAGCGUUUACUUCUUUUAUAUCAUUGAUUUCCAUCAGUACAGAGAAUCACUCGUUUGUCAAGCUUAUUAAAGGCAAUUGAUUACUUGCUUUAUUAAUCGUAUCAGAGGUAGACGAGCUAAGAAUAACUGAAACAUAAUGUAUCAUGUAUUUCUAGAGUCACUAGAACUAGAACAUUGCUUGCGUUAUAAGAGUCAGUCAAAACACAACAUUGCUUUGCAUCGCUGGAAGCGUGUGUUACAACACUUGCGUCAAAAUCAAACAAAUUUAAUGAAGUAGAGUCUUGUUGUUCCUUUGUCUUCAUACAAUCACCAGAGGAUAUAACUUAAAUCAAGGUAACAUUUGACUUUGAACUAAUACUUGCAAUAUUACGUCUUCCUCAUAUAGUAGACAUAGUUACUUGUAUAUUAGGAUAUAAUAUUCUUUGUCUAUAAGAAACAUUUAGAUUAUUGUCUCUAUUUUACUUGGAACUUAUGCUACUCUAAUAUGAAUAGUCAUUAAUAUAACUCUUUGUGUUCUAACUUAAUAUGCACACUUUGCAAAUACAGAUACGAGAUGAUUAUUCUUUAUUUAUUUGUUUUUGUUAUCUUAAAACAUCUACCAGAGAAUUGUAGCGAAAUCCCAUUUUGCACUAACACACCCUAUUAAAGUUUCUAACUCAUAGUUUAGCUCACUAAAUUUUAAGUGUUCUCGUUAGUCAAUUAUUAUACAAAGGGCUUCACUCACAUCUAACAAGUCUUAAGAUGAUUUGUGGGAAAUACGAUUUUUACGUUUGAUUGACAUUAUUUUACACUCAUGAAAUCAAGCGGAGCAUAAAAUAAAAGUUACAUAAUUAACUAAAAAUUUAGGAAUAAAAACGAAGAUAAAAACGACACCAAAUCGAUAGUUAGAUAAAGUAUCACCGACGCGUCGAAGCACUGACAAGAUUCGACGUCAACUUUAUCUAAAUGUGUGAAUAAGUAGAGCUUCUUGAAAGUUUCGACGAGAGGAAUCCAAAAAUGAUAUCCUUUUUUUCCAAUGGUGAAUACAGAGGCCGACAAAGGAUAAUACAGUCCGUCCAAAUAAGAAAAUGUGACUGUUUCUUAAAAGAGAAUAUGAGUAGAGCUUCUUCAAAGUUUCAACGAGAAGAAUCAACAAACGAUGUCCAUUUUUUUCAAUGAUCAACACGGAGGCCAAAAAAGGAUAAUACAGUCCGUCCAUUUUUACAAAGAUAAUUUUUAAGACAAUAAAAGAGAAUAUGCAUACCGAAACUAUAUUAUAUUAUUUUUACCCAAGGACAAGAAAACUUGCUUGAUUGGAGAAAUUUUUUUUUGGUUUUUUUUUUAUUCCUAAAUUCAAUUCAAGUCCCCAUCUUUUUGUUUCUUUAACAAAAAAUUUAACUUAAUUGAAAAAAAAAUCAUAGCUGAAUUAAAAAAUUAAAUUUGAACGGACACUAUCUUAAAUAAGUGUUACGUUUUAAAUCGUAAUUUCUAUAUCAAUAUUUACAUGUCCUUUUGAAGGUGCUUUUGCCAAAAGGUUUGCCUUAAUUUAAUUUGAAAUUUGACUCUUGGCACAAAAUAAGGACAUCUUAAUUCCAUAUAUAUAUAGAGAAUACUACUUUAUUAUUUAGCAAUAUUGCAUUGUUGUAAUACUCCAAGAAGUGACAUGGGUUACCCCAAACAUGCAACUUACUUUUAUAAAAACGGAUUAGGCAGAAUAAGUUUGAAUAAUAAAUAAAUAAAUAAGAUGCGAAAAAUAGAAGAAGAUAAAUGAGACGUAUAUUUUUAUAAUAGUUCACAACAAAUUGUUCCUAUUUCUAGUUCCCUUUACAAAGAGAUUUUACUUCAGUAAAGUCGGGGACUUAAUCCACUAUUUCCAUAUAUAGCAUAAAAGUAUUAUUUACUCUACCUUUUUAGGCUUUUAGUAUUUUUCUCUAGCCUCUCCAGGUUGUCUUAAUCAAAAUCUUCUUCAACUUUAUGGCAUCUUGCGAUUGAGGUUCACGAGAGUCGUGGUACCUUUUCACGUACCUCUUAGGGGUGAGAAGGUUUUUGCCACUAUCGGGCUAAUUUACAUCAGUUUUAGUUUGUGUCUGAUUUGACACAAAGUUUGUUUUUCGGAUUCUAACUCUCAUUGAGAGUAUGUUAUAGAUCAAGUCCUAUAUUAUUACAAGUGUGAGAGAACUAGAUAUAUGAACAAGUAGUAGAUUCAAGAUGUUGAUCAAAGGAAAAACAAUUGCUUCGUCUUCUUUGGAAUGUUGAAUUUCAUCAUAGCAUUUACUUCUUUUAUAUCAUUGAUUUCCUUCAGUGCAGAGAAUCACUCGUUUGUCAAGCUUAUUAAAGGCAAUUGAUUACUUGCUUUAUCAAUCGUAUUAGAGGUAGACGAGCUGAGAUUAACUGAAACAUAAUGUAUCAUGUAUUUUUAGAGUCACUAGAACUAGAACAUUGCUUGUGUUAUAAGAGUCAGUCAAAACGCAACAUUGCUUUGCGUCGAUGGAAGCGUGUGUUACAACACUUUGGUCAAAAUCAAACAAAUUGAAUGAAGUAGAGUCUUGUUAUUCCUCUGUCUUCGUCCAAUCACCAGAGGAUAUAACUUAAAUCAAGGUAACAUUUGAGUUUGAACUAAUACUUGCAAUAUUAUGUCUUCCUCCAAUAGUAGACAUAGUUACUUGUAUAUUAGGAUAUAAUAGUCUGUAUAUAAGAAACACUUAGAUUAUUGUCUCUAUUUUACUUGGAACUUAUGUUACUCUAAGAUGAAUAGUCAUUAAUAUAACUCUUUGUGUUCUAACUUAAUAUGCACACUUUGCAAAUACAGAUGCAUGACGAUUAUUCUUUAUUUGUUUGUUUUUGUUAUCUUAAAACAUCUACCAGAGGAUUGUAGCAAAAACCCAUUUUGGACUAACACACCCUAUAAAAGUUUCUAACUCAUAUUUUAAACUCACUAAAUUUUAAGUGUUCUCGUUAGUCGAUUAUUAUACAAAGGACUUCAGUCACAUGUAGUAAGUCUUAAGAUGAUUUGUGGGAAAUACGAUGUUUACGUUCCAUUGACUUAUUUUACACUCAUGAAUUCAAACUCAAGCUCACAUCAUACAUUAAUUGACACUUUAGUAAAAUAUGUGAAUCACCAAAAGUUCCACACCAACGCCAGCCCUACAACGUGCAAUAGAUGUGUCUGAAUGUGUCUGAAAUCAACGAAGAAUUCAUAGGAUCACCAAAAUACGACUGGAAAAACAAGCAGAGCAUAAAAUCAAAGUUACAUAAUUAACUAAAAAUUAAGGAGUAAGAACGAAGAUAAAAACGGCACCAAACAGAUAGUUAGAUAAAGUAUCACUGACGCGCCGAGGCACAUACAAGAUCUGACGUCAACUUUAUCGAAUUAUGCGAAUCAGUAGAGCUUCUUGAAAGUUUCGACGAGAGGAAUCCAAAAACGAUAUCAUUUUUUUUCCAAUGAUGAAUACGGAGGUCGAAAAAGGAAAAUAUAGUCCGUCUAAAUAAGAAAAUGUGAUUGUCUCUUAAAAGAGAAUAUGAGUAGAGCUUCUUCAAAGUUUCAACGAGAAGAAUCAAAAAACGCUGUCCAUUUUUUUCAAUGAUCAACACGAAGGCCAAAAAAGAAAAUUAAGUCCGUCCAUUUUUACAAAGAUUAUUUUUUAGACAAUAAAAGAGAAUAUGCAACCGAAACUAUAUUAUAUUAUUUUUACCCAAGAACAAGAAAACUUGCUUGAUUGGAGAAAUUUUUUUUUUUUUGGUGUUUUUUUUAUUCCUAAAUUAAAUUUAAGUCCCCAUCUUUUUGUUUCUUUAAUAAAAUUUUAACUUAAUUAAUAACAAAAACAAAAAAAUUCAUAGCUAAAUUAAAAAAUUAAAUUUGAACGGACACUAUCUAAAUAAGUGUUACGUUUUAAAUCGUAAUUUCUAUAUCAAUAUUUACAUGUCCUUUUGAAGUUGCUUUUGCCAAAAGGUUUGCCUUAAUUUAAUUUGAAAUUUGACUCAUGGCCCAAAAAAAGGACAUCUUCCUUCCAUAUAUAUAGAGAAUACUACUUUAUUAUUUAGCAACAUUGCAUUGUAAUCCUCCAAGAAGUGACAUGGCUUACUCAAAUUCAUACGUGUUUCUUGGUUUGGGACUUUUUAUUAUUCUCUCUUCUCAAGUUCUAGCUCAAGUUCCUCUUCUUCUUCCUCCUCCACCUCCACCUCCUCCUCCUACAAUUAUUUGUAAGUCAUGCUAGACUAUAAUGUAUUUUUCUACGCAAAUGCACAUGUUUAAAAAAAUAUGAUUCAAUAUAUGUAUAAAUAUAACACACAUUCUAAUGAAACAUAUUAAAAUGAAAUUAAUAUAGUACUUAAGUUCUAGUUCAAUGGGUAAAUGGAAAUAAUGUUAGGUUAAACAUUUUGUCUUAGAUUUUAACCUAAGACUUCAGAGUUGCGUGUGUUAAUUAUGAUGGAAUUUACCAUUUCUUCUAAAAUAAAAUAAAAAUGAUAUUAUUAUAAAACUAGGACCCUCAAAUUAAACUUAUUAAAAUAAUAUUAAUAUUAAACUUAUAACUUUAUAAUUAUUUGGUUUCAAUUUUAGAUCCUGAAAUUGUAUUAUAUUUUAUUUUAACUCUUAUAAGUUUUUUUUUAUUUGAAUUAAGUCCUUGCAAAUAUAAAAAAUGUCGUUUUAAAUUCUUAAGUUAGUUUAUGGGAUCACAUGGUGCGACAUUAUAGGAUCACAUUUGAUCUCAAGGACUAAAUAUAAACUUUUUAAAAUUUGCUGAGAUUAAAAUCAAACAAAAACACUUAGAAUGACUAAAACCAAAAAAUAAUAUAACUGCAUGAACUAAAAUCAUAUUCAGACCUCAAACUUUUAUUAAGGUAUACGAUUUUUUAAGAAGUCAGAAAAUCAUACUUAUAAGGUUUAUAUAUAAAUUUUUAUUUCACUUUUACAUUUCUUGAUAUAAUGCAUUCUCCAAUAGAUAUUUUAAACACAAUAUGGAAACCCCAAUGACAACUGUGCAUAGUUAUGCUGGCCUGAUGCAUGAAGUGACACUUCUAGAAGCUGAAGCUGAUCGGAUGACUUUCCGUGCAAAUUUGAUAAAGAAGAAUGUUGCUAAAUCUAUUCAUCAAAGCCGUAAAUUUCUAAAUCAUUUAUUUGAUGAAGAAGAUAAAGUUUCCAAAAGUAAUGAGGAAGAUAAAGUUUCCAUAACUGAUAAGGAAGAUAAAGUUUCCAGAAAUGACAAGGAAGACAAAAUUUCAAAUAAUGAAGAGAAAAACAAAGUUUUAAAAAAUAAGGAGAAAGAGAAGGUUUUUAAAAGUGACAAGGAAGAUAAAGUUUUCAAAAAUGAUAAUAAAAAUACAAUUACAAAUUAAAAAUAAUGAAAAAAAAAUGAAGUUUACAAAUGUGACGAAGAAGAUAAACUUUCUUUAAUAUUUCCCAUGUAUUAAUAGCAUGCAAGAAUGUAUAUAUUAACUGUAUAAAUAAAAGGGUGAAAGUAGACAUUAUACUUAUAACUUGCCAUAUAUAUACAUCAAAACAUGAGUUAUAUAUAGUUCAUAUCAAUAUUUGGGUAAUGAUAUAUUGAUAUCAGAUGUCAAACAUUACAAACUUACACCUUUAAUACUUUGAAGAAGAUGAAUUAAAUUAUAUCAAUCCAAUUUGUCGAAUAAUCUUGAAUUAUGUAGAUGAUUUUAUAUACAAAACUUCAAACAAUUUAGAAACUCGUUGGUAAAAGUUUUAGUAAUAGAUAUUGUAACAUUCUGAUUUAAUUCAAACUAUUAUUAAUGAAAUUACAAACGUGAAAAAUGUGGAUUAUUAUUAUUUAAAACAAGGCUAAAAUAAAAUAAUUAUUUGAUCUAAACCAAAUAAUAAAUUUUCUUUUAUUGACUUCCACAAUAAAAACAUAGUCAUUACAAUUAAUUACAAACAAACAAGUAGUUGUGUAAAUAAAAGAACGAAAUCCUAAAGUCAAGACUCUUGGGUUUUUUCUACCCAAGAGAAAACCUAGUUGGUCACAAUUUUGAAUGCUUGUGAAAAAUUCUCAAGGCUAACACCAGUGUUAAAAAGACAAAUCAGAGCCUCCAAUUACACUAUCGUUUUACAAUUUUAAUAAUUUCCACAUAAUUUAUAUCCUUUUUUUUUAUUCAGAUAACUUAUAUACUUUCAUAAAAAUAGAGUUUGUGAUUAUCAAAUAUAUAAAUUUUCUCUUAAAUCAUAGUUAAUAUUAUAGACCCGGAACAGUUGUAAAAUGGUGAUUAGUUCUACUUUGAUUAGUAAUAAUUUUUUCAUCUCUAAAAAAAUUGUUAAGUUUUUAUGAUUAAAUUUUUGCAAAACAUUGUUUCUAUCAUAUUAUUUCUAGAGUAAAAAUUCUUAUUUAAUUAAAAACUCUAUAAUUUUUUUUCAAUAUGAUGUAUUCUUCUUAUAACCUUACAUAUUUACAAAAUUAAUACAUUAAUAAAUUAUUUAUAUCUUAUUCAAAAAAAUUUAAACCCCAUGCAAAACAUGGGUAAUAGUCUAAUAAUAUAUUAAAAUAGACUCCUAAAUACUAUUGUAACACAUCAUCUGAUAUUGUGUCAUUUCAUUCAAUAAUUGUCACCACAACAAAAAUUUGAUGUGCCAUAUGUAAUAUUAUAUAUAACUAUUCAUGUGCCAUCAUUAUUGGUAAUAAUUUUUCUAUGGUUUUAACUCCAAUUAAUAUAUUGGUCCUUUCAAUGCUUAAAUAUAUAAAUGACAACAAUUUGUGGAAGUUAUUUUGUAUCAUAUAUUGCUUAUGUUUAUUUGGAAAUUGGAAGACAAUGACACAUAAACUUUGGUCUCUAUGCAACUUUUCUAUUUAUAAGUUGUUUAGAUUGAUUGGGGACAAUUUUGUAAUUUCUAGCAUCUAAUUUUUUAUUCUUUUUAUAUUUAUUUUACGUGCUUUUUAUAAUUAAUGUUUAUAUAUUUGAGUUUUAAUUCUAACUAUAAUAUGUUAUGAUAUCUUUAUGAUCAAUUAUUGUGUAUACAUUUGGUGCAAAUACUUUUGAACAAAUUGUGCUUAUAUUUUAUUAUGAAUUAAGUUACGUGUUGUAAUACCCCAAAUUUUAUAAUAAAUAUUUUCUUAAUGAAAUAGAAUUUUGGAUAAUUAAUUUGGUGUUAAAACUAUUUUAGAAUAUAUGUGGAUAAAUCUUGUGACUAACUUUCAUUAUAUGGGAGCUUUCUAUGAUACGCUAAUUUUGUAUAUAUUUGAAUAAAUAAGUGAUAUAAAUAACAAAUAUAAUAUUUUAUAAUUUUAUAUAUUUUUAUAUUUUUUUCUAUAAAUAAUAGUAUUUUAGUGUAAAUAUUUUAAAGAAUAAGAUUUUAGGCGACUCUACAUGUAUAUGUGUGUUCGCAGUUAAUGUGAUAUUUUCUUGUAUGUUUGACUGAUGUUAAGUGUGCACAUAUUUAAUUAUUUAUAAACAUAUGUUAUUUUAAUUAUUUAUUUUACAAAUAAUUAUCUUGAUAUAUUAAUAUUUUUAAUAUUUAUUUUCUUUAUUUUUAUAUAGUUGCACAUAUUUAUUUUUAUUUAUUUUAUCAUUUUGACUAUUCUAUAAAGAUAAUGUUUUUUUAUGUGAUUAUUUUGAAAGAUGUUAUAGUAGUAAUUAUAGUUAUUAUUUUGAAUAUGAGCGUUUUGGUUAAAAUUCGAUUUAUUAUUUUAAGGAUAGAUAAUAUUAUGUUAAAAUGAGUAUUUUGGAGAAAAGUUUCUAGAAAAGUAAAAUAAACUAUUUAUUUAUUGUAGGCUUUUAGAAAUACUAGAAAAAUGAAUUUUGGACAAAACGACUGUUUACACCCCUAUUUUCUACUUAUGCAUAUUACUUUAGGCUAUUACUUGUUGGACUUUCUCUUUCCUACACCUGCGAAAUUGCUCAUUACACCUCUAUUCCUGCAAAAGACACAUACUAGACUCUCGUGUGUUGGGUCUUACAGCCUGUUUUACUCAUGUAAAAUUUAUCAUGUAACCCCAAAAAAAAAAAUUAAAAUGUCAAAAAUACCCUCAAUUAUUUUUUUAUGAUUUCACACAAUCUAAGGUAAAUUUUUUUCACCCUUUUUUUAUUUCCGGAGUCGUAAAAAAGUUUUCCGGUAUGUUCAAUUUUUCUGGUAACUAUCGGAAUACUUGUAAUAAGAUUUCGGGUACGUAAGGUAUAUUCCGGAAAACAUAAAACGAAGUUUUCCGGUACAAAAGGGAAAAGUUGUGUACCGGAAAACUUAAUUGACAAGUUAUCCGGUACAAAAUUGGCUUCCGGAAAACUUCAUAUACAAGUUUUUCGGUACAUAACUAUUUUUUAAAAUUUAUUUUUAAGUUUUUUGAAUUUUAUUAAUUUAUUUUAAAUGUUAACGGAUAUGGAUAAACUAUUACUAUUAAUGGAUAAAACAUGCGUCGAUACUACAAAUAUUUUUGACACAUAUCAGGUAAGAAUAAAUAUAAUUAAUAUUGUAAAAAUAUAUUAUUGUUAUUAAUUAUAAUUUAUUUUAUUUCAGAUAUUUGAUACAAGGGAUGCUGUUGUGAAUUGGGUAAAAGAAAUCGGUAUAAAAAUUAAUGUUAUUGUUAUUAUCAGAAGAUCAGAUAUAGAGACGGGAGAGAGAGUAAGGAGAAAUAAAUUACUAUUAAUUUGUGACAAAGGGAGAAAAUACAAGUGUGCUGCUACUUCAACUCGAAGUUCAACAAAAAAGUGUGAUUGUCCUUUCAAGCUUAGAUCAAAACCAUUAAAAGAUGGUUCAGGAUGGAUAGUUAAAGUAAUUUGUGGAAUUCACAUCCAUGAAUUACCUGAUACUUUGGAGGGGCAUGCAUAUGUUGGACGCUUAGAUGAAGAAGAAAGAAAGCAUGUUCAUGACUUAACAAAAUAUAAUGGAGCAUCGAGACACAUAUUACUCUCAUUGAAAGACCGAGAUAAGAGUAAUGUUACUAAAAUAUCAUAAAUAUAUAAAUAGAGGAGUAUGAUUCGAUUGAACGUGAGAGGUAAUAGAACAAAGAUGCAACAUUUAUUCACGUUAAUUGAAGAUGAAAAAUAUGUGUGUCGGAAUAGAAAGUGUGAAGACACUGAUGUUAUGAAAGAUAUUUUUUUGGGCACAUCUUGAUUCAGUGAAGACUUUGAUGUUAUGAGAGAUAUUCUUUACUCUUACACGGUAAAGUUCUAAAUCAAAAGACUGAGCUCUGAUACCAAUUGAAGUAGUUGGAAAAUACAAGACACGUGAGUUUGAAUUGUGUUUGCCAUUUUUGAAGGCUAUUUAGACAUCCUUACACAAAUUGUUCUUUAUCAAAACAUGCAACUUACUUUUAUAAAAAAAGGUUUAGACAGAGUAAGGUUGAAUAAUAAAUAAAUAAAUAAAUAAAUAAAUAAAUAAAUAAAUAAGAUGCGAAAAAUAGAAGAAGAUAAAAGAGACAUAUUUUUAUAAUAGUUCACAACAAAUAGUUCCUAUAUCUAGCACUCCCUUUACAAAGAGAUUUUACCUUAGCACAGUCGAUGACUUAAUCCACUAUUUCCAUAAAUAACAUAAAAGUAUUCUUUACUCUGCCUUUUUAGGCUUUUAGUAUUUUUCUCUAGCCUCUACAGGUUGUCUCCAUCAAAACCUUCUUCAACUUUCUGGCAUCUUGCCAUUAAGAUUCAUGAGAGUCGUGGUACCUUUUCACGUACCUCUUAGGGGUGAGAAGGUUGUUGUCUGAUUUGACACAAAGUUUGUUUUUCGAAUUCUAACUCUAAUUGAGAGGGUGUUACAGAUCAACUCCUCUAUCAGUACAAGUGUCAGAAAACAAGAUAUAUGAACAAGUAGUAGAUUCUAGAUGUUGAUCAGAUGAUGCACAAUUGCUUCGUCUUCUUUGGAAUGUCGAAUUUCAUCAUAGCAUUUACUUCUUUUAUAUCAUUGAUUUCCUUCAGUGCAUACGACAUAAGUUAGAAUUAUAUGAUCAGAAACUUGAAAUGAUUAUCAGUGGCAGAGAAUCACUCGCUUGUCAAGCUUAUUAGAGGCAAUUGAUUACUUGCUUUAUCAAUCGUAUCAGAGGUAGACGAGCCGAGAAUAGCUGAAACAUAAUGUAUCAUGUAUUUAUAGAGUCACUAGAACUAGAACAUUGCUUGUGUUAUAAGAGUCAGUCAAAACACAACAUUGCUUUGCGUCGUUGGAAGCGUGUGUUACAACACUUGCGUCAAAAUCAAACAAAUUGAAUGAAGUAGAGUCUUGUUGUUCCUCAGUCUUCGUACAAUCACCAGAGGAUAUAACUUAAAUCAAGGUAACAUUUGACUUUGAACUAAUACUUGCAAUAUUACGUUUUCCUCCAAUAGUAGACAUAGUUACUUGUGUAAUAGGAUAUAAUAUUCUUUGUGCAUAAGAAACACUUAGAUUAUUGUCUCUAUUUUACUUAGAACUUAUGCUACUCUAAUAUGAAUAGUCAUUAAUAUAACUCUUUGUGUUCUAACUUAAUAUGCACACUAUGCAAAUACAGACACGAGAUGAUUAUUCUUUAUUUGUUUGUUUUUGUUAUCUUAAAAUAUCUAUCAGAGGAUUGUAGCGAAAUCCCAUUUUGCACUAACACACCCUAUUAAAGUUUCUAACUCAUAGUUUAAGCUCACCAAAUUUUAAGUGUUCUCGUUAGUCAAUUAUUAUACAAAGGGCUUCACUCACAUCUAACAAGUCUUAAGAUGAUUUGUGGGAAAUACGAUUUUCACGUUUGAUUGACAUUAUUUUACACUCAUGAAAUCAAGCGGAGCAUAAUAUUAAAGUAACAUAAUUAACUAAAAAGUUAGGAAUAAAAACGAAGAUAAAAACGACACCAAAUCGAUAGUUAGAUAAAGUAUCACCGAUGCGUCGAAGCACUGACAAGAUCCGACGUCAACUUUAUCGAAAUAUGCGAAUCAGUAGAGCUGAUUGAAAGUUUCGACGAGAGGAAUCCAAAAACGAUAUCAUUUUUUUCCAAUGAUGAAUACGGAAGUCGAAAAAGGAAAGUAUUGUCCGUCUAAAUAAGAAAAUGUGAUUGUUUCUUAAAAGAGAAUAUGAGUAUAGCUUCUUCAAAGUUUCAACGAGAAAAAUCAAAAAACGAUGUCCAUUUUUUUCAAUGAUCAACACAUAGGCCGAAAAAAAAAAUACAGUCCGUCCAUUUUUACAAAGAUUAUUUUUAAGACAAUAAAAGAGAAUAUGCAUACCGAAACUAUAUUAUAUUAUUUUUACCCAAGGACAAGAAAACAUGCAUGAUUGGAGAAAAUUUUUUUGGUUUUUUUUUAUUCCUAAAUUAAAUUCAAGUCCCCAUCUUUUUGUUUCUUUAACAAAAAAUUUAACUUAAUUGAAAAAAAAAAAUCAUAGCUGAAUUAAAAAAUUAUAUUUGAACGGACACUAUCUAAAUAAGUGUUACGUUUUAAAUCGUAAUUUCUAUAUCAAUAUUUACAUGUCCUUUUGAAGUUGCUUUUGCCAAAAGGUUUGCCUUAAUUUAAUUUGAAAUUUGACUCUUGGCCCAAAAAAAGGACAUCUUCUUUCCAUAUACAUAGAGAAUACUACUUUAUUAUUUAGCAAUAUUGCAUUGUUGUAAUACUACAAGAAGUGACAUGGGUUACUCAAAACAUGCAAGUUACUUUUAUAAAAAAGGAUUAGGCAGAGUAAGGUUGAAUAAUAAAUAAAUAAAUAAAUAAAUAAAUAAAUAAGAUGCGAAAAAUAGAAGAAGAUAAAGGAGACGUAUAUUUUUAUAAUAGUUCACAACAAAUUGUUCCUAUUUCUAUUUCUCCCUUUCAAAAAGAUUUUACCUCAGUAAAGUCGAGGACUUAAUCCAUUAUUUCCAUAUAUAGCAUAAAGGUAUUCUUUACUCUGCCUUUUUAGGCUUUUAGUAUUUUUCUCUAGCCUCUCCAGAUUGUCUUCAUCAAAACCUUCUUCAACUUAUGGCAUCUUGCCAUUGAGGUUCACGAGAGUCGUGGUACCUUUUCACGUACCUCUUAGGGGUGAGAAGGUUGUUGUCACUAUCGGGCUAAUUUACAUCAGUUUUAGUUUGUGUCUGAUUUGACACAAAGUUUGUUUUUCGGAUUCUAACUCUCAUUGAGAGUAUGUUAUAGAUCAAGUCAUUUAUCAGUACAAGUGUGAGAGAACUAGAUAUAUGAACAAGUAGUAGAUUCAAGAUGUUGAUCAAAGGAAGCACAAUUGCUUCGACUUCUUUUGAAUGUUGAAUUUCAUCAUAGCGUUUACUUCUUUUAUAUCAUUGAUUUCCUUCAGUGCAUACGACAUAAGUUAGAGUUAUAUGAUCAGAAACUUGAAAUGAUUAUCAGUGGCAGAGAAUCACUCGUUUGUCAAGCUUAUUAAAGGCAAUUGAUUACUUGCUUUAUCAAUCGUAUCAGAGGUAGACGAGCUGAGAAUAACUGAAACAUAAUGUAUCAUGUAUUUUUAGAGUCACUAGAACUAGAACAUUGCUUGCGUUAUAAGAGUCAGUCAAAACGCAAUAUUGCUUUGCGUCGUUGGAAGCGUGUGUUACAACACUUGCGUCAAAAUCAAACAAAUUGAAUGAAGUAGAGUCUUGUUGUUCCUUUGUCUUCGUCCAAUCACCAGAGGAUAUAACUUAAAUCAAGGUAACAUUUGACUUUGAACUAAUACUUGCAAUAUUACAUCUUCCUCCCAUAGUAGACAUAGUUACUUGUAUAUUAGGAUAUAAUAGUCUGUAUAUAAGAAACAUUUAGAUUAUUGUCUCUAUUUUACUUGGAUCUUUUGCUACUCUAAGAUGAAUAGUCAUUAAUAUAACUCUUUGUGUUCUAACUUAAUAUGCACACUUUGCAAAUACAGAUGCAUUAUGAUUAUUCUUUAUUUGUUUGUUUUUGUUAUCUUAAAACAUCUACCAGAGGAUUGUACCAAAAACCCAUUUUGGACUAACACACCCUAUAAAAGUUUCUAACUCAUAUUUUAAGCUCACUAACUUUUAAGUGUUCUCGUUAGUCAAUUAUUAAACAAAGGGCUUCAGUCACAUGUAGUAAGUCUUAAGAUGAUUUGUGGGAAAUACGAAUUUUCCGUUCCAUUGACUUAUUUUAAACUCAUGAAUUCAAACUCACGCUCACAUCAUACAUUAAUUGACACUUUCAUAAAAUAUGUGAAUCACCAAAAGUUCCAAGCAACGCCAGCCCUACAACGUGCAAUAGAUGUGUCUGAAUGUCUCUGAAAUCAGCGAAGAAUUCAUAGGAUCACAAAAAUCGGUCUGGUAAAUCAAGCGGAGCAUAAAAUCAAAGUUACAUAAUUAACUAAAAAUUUAGCAGUAAGAACGAAGAUAAAAACGACACCAAAUCGAUAGUUAGAUAUAGUAUCACUGACGCGUCGAGGCACUGACAAGAUCUGACGUCAACUUUAUCAAAAUAUGCGAAUCAGUAGAGCUUCUUAAAAGUUUCGACGAGAGGAAUCUAACAAUAUCAUUUUUUCCAAUGAUGAAUACGGAGGUCGAAAAAGGAAAAUAUAGUCCGUCUAAAUAAGAAAAUGUGAUUGUUUCUUAAAAGAGAAUAUGAGUAAAGCUUCUUCAAAGUUUCAAUGAGAAUAAUCAAAAAACGAUGUCCAUUUUUUUCAAUGAUCAACACGGAGGCCGAAUAAGGAAAAUACAGUCUGUCCAUAUUUACAAAGAUUAUUUUUUAGACAAUAAAAGAGAAUAUGCAAUCGAAACUAUAUUAUAUUAUUUUUACCCAAGGACAAGAAAACUUGCUUGAUUGGAGAAUUUUUUUUUUUUGGUGUUUUUUUUAUUCCUAAAUUAAAUUUAAGUCCCCAUCUUUUUGUUUCUUUAAUAAAAUUUUAACUUAAUUGAAAACAAAAACAAAAAAAAUUCAUAGCUGAAUUAAAAAAAUUAAAUUUGAACGGACACUAUCUAAAUAAGUGUUACGUUUUAAAUCGUAAUUUCUAUAUCAAUAUUUACAUGUCCUUUUGAAGUUGCUUUUGCCAAAAGGUUUGCCUUAAUUUAAUUUGAAAUUUGACUCUUGGCCCAAAAAAAGGACAUCUUCUUUCCAUAUACAUAGAGAAUACUACUUUAUUAUUUGGCAACAUUGCAUUGUAAUCCUCCAAAGAAGUGACAUGGCUUACUCAAAUUCAUAUAUGUUUCUUGGUUUGGGAUUUUUUAUUAUUCUCUCUUCUCAAGUUCUAGAUCAAGUUCCUCUUCUUCCUCCUCCACCUCCACCUCCACCUCCACCUCCUCCUCCUACAAUUAUUUGUAAGUCAUGCUAGACUAUAAUGUAUUUUUCUACGUCAAAUUCACAUGUUUUAAAAAUUAUGAUUCAAUACAUGUAUAAAUAUAAGACACAUUCUAAUGAGACAUAUUAAAAUGAAAUUAAUAUAGUACUUAAGUUCUAGUUCAAUGGGUAAAUGGAAAGAAUGUUAGGUUAAACAUUUUGUCUCAGAUUUUAACCUAAGACUGCAGAGCUGCGUGUGUUAAUUAUGAUGGAAUUUACCAUUUCUUCUAAAAUAAAAUAAAAAUGAUAUUAUUAUAAAACUAAGACCCUCAAAUUAAACUUAUUAAAAUAAUAUUAAUAUUAAACUUAUAACUUUAUAAUUAUUUGAUUUCAAUAUGAUUUUAGUUCUUGAAAUUGUAUUGUUUUUUAUUUUAACUCUUAUAAGUUUUUUUUUUUUUGAAUUAAGUCCUUGCAGAUAUAAAAAAUGUCGUUUCAAAUUCUUAAGUUAGUUUAUGGGAUCACAUGGUACGACACUAUAGGAUCACAUUUGAGCUCAAAGACUAAAUAUAGAUUUUUUAAAAUUUGCUGAGAUUAAAAUCAAACAGAAACACUUAGAAGGACUAAAACCAAAAAAUAAUAUAACUGCAUGAACUAAAAUUAUAUUCAGACCUCAAACUUUUAUUAAGGUAUACGAUUUUUUAAGAAGUUAGAAAAUCAUACUUAUAAGGUUUAUAUAUAAAUUUUUAUUUCACUUUUACAUUUCUUGAUAUAAUGCAUUCUCCAAUAGAUAUUUUAAACACAAUAUGGAAACCCCAAUGACAACUGUGCAUAGUUAUGCUGGCCUGAUGCAUGAAGUGACACUUCUAGAAGCUGAAGCUGAUCGGAUGACUUUCCGUGCAAAUUUGAUAAAGAAGAAUGUUGCUAAAUCUAUUCAUCAAAGCCGAAAAUUUCUAAAUCAUUUAUUUGAUGAAGAAGAUAAAGUUUCCAAAAGUAAUGAGGAAGAUAAAGUUUCCAUAACUGAUAAGAAAGAUAAAGUUUCCAGAAAUGACAAGGAAGACAAAAUUUCAAAUAAUGAAGAGAAAAACAAAGUUUUAAAGAAUGAGGAGAAAGAGAAUGUUUUUAAAAGUGACAAGGAAGAUAAAGUUUUCAAAAAUGAUAAUAAAAAUACAAUUACAAAUUAAAAAUAAUGAAAAAAAAAAUGAAGUUUACAAAUGUGACGAAGAAGAUAAACUUUCUUUAAUAUUUCCCAUGUAUUAAUAUAGCAUGCAAAAAUUUAUAUAUUAACUGUAUAAAUAAAAGGGUGAAAGUAGACAUUAUACUUAUAACUUGCCAUAUAUAUACAUCAAAACUUGAGUUAUAUAUAGUUCAUAUCAAUAUUUGGGUAAUGAUAUAUUGAUAUAUAUCAGAUGUCAAACAUUACAAACUUACACCUUCAAUACCUCUUUGAAGAAGACGAAUUAAAUUAAAUCAAUCCAAUUGUUGAAUAUUCUUGAAUUAUGUUGAUGAUCUUAUAUACAAAACUUCAAACAAUUUAGAAACUCGUUGGUAAAAGUUUUAGUAAUAGAUAUUGUAACAUUCUGAUUUAAUUCAAACUAUUAUUAACGAAAUUACAAACAUGAAAAAUGUGGAUUAUUAUUAUUAUUUAAAACAAGGCUAAAAUAAAAUAAUUAUUUGAUCUAAACCAAAUAAUAAAUUUUCUUUUAUUGACUUCCACAAUAAAAACAUAGUCAUUACGAUUCCAAACAAACAAGUAGUUGUGUAAAUAAAAGAACGAAAUCCUACAGUCAAGACUCUUGGAUUUUUUCUACCCAAGAGAAAACCUAGUUGGUCACAAUUUUGAAUGCUUGUGAAGAAUUCUCAAGGCUAACACCAGUGUUAAAAAGAAAAAUCAGAGCCUCCAAUUACACUAUCAUUUCACAAUUUUAAUAAUUUCCACAUAAUUUAUAUCCUUUUUUUUAUUCAGAUAACUUAUAUACUUUCAUAAAAAUAGAGUUUG